This is a long non-coding RNA of Phyllopteryx taeniolatus (common seadragon), 1232 nucleotides long. RefSeq lists it as uncharacterized. The record is from RefSeq and is a predicted model, not a curated record. NCBI's taxonomy places the organism in Eukaryota, Metazoa, Chordata, Actinopteri, Syngnathiformes, Syngnathidae. The transcript has 4 exons.
AUGUGGACAACACUCGCAAGUAACAGGGAGGAACCAAUUAAAUGAGGUUCAAUGGACUUUUCCUUGGAGGGGUGACAGUAUCGCACCGCCAUUCUUCGACGCCCAGCAGAGAAGGAAGUUGAAGAGCGUCGAGCACUAUGCCACCAAAACGCCAACACUGGGGCGCCUCUGAUAAGGAAGCGGUGGCAAGCCACUAGAGGAGCGCCUGCUUUCUAGUAGUGCUACGGAGGGCAGGCCAAUACUAGAACGCCUCCGUGCUUUGCUGACGAGAACUGCAGGACCAGGCUGACAGACAGUAGCAGGGUACUUCUGUCUCUUUUGCCAUAAAUGGAAAUGACGCUGGAAGAAGAAAUCCAUGCUGUUUGGAAUGGUUUAGACACACAUGCGAUGUCAUGACAACAUGAGAGGCCGUAUCUUUUGUGCAACUGGAAACACAGCAAUGAAGUGCUACUUUGCAUUUUAGGCUGUCGACACAUAGGUUCAAUACUUUUGAUAAGACAAAGCGGGGGGGGAUUGUUUUUCCUCUCCGGUCCCUUUGUGUGUUUUUACCCUUCUCCAACACAAAGUCAACGGAGCUGUGGUCUAAAGCAGAACAGUACACAACAGUACUCACAAAAGGUUAGUGAUAUUUAGCUUGCAGGUGAUAUUUCAGAAUGGAUCUAAAAUACGCUAUAACCUUGACAGGUGAACUUAAAUUGAAUUUCUUUAGACCUUUGAAUGGAACAAAACAUUUCCGGGUGUAAUUAGAAUUUACAUUUAAACAGUCCCCUUCAUCAUGUUGUUUACAUUUUGACAUCAUGAGGACAAGACGACACCCAACAAUUGAUUAAAAGUACCUCGCCAUUGCAAGGCUUCAAACAGGAUGUUCUCAGAAGUAAGUGGCCACUGAGUUUAGAGUCACAGCAUGUCAUCAGCAGAUUGCACCAGAGAUACAGAGAGACUGGAAGAGUCACACAAAGCCAUAGAAGUGGAUGUCCUUGGAAAUGUAUUGGAUCAAAUAAUUUUGCCAUUCAAGCUAUUUUUUAGAGAACAGCAAGUUGUGCAAUAAUGACUGGAAAACUGAACAGUUGCAUUUCUAUGUUAAUCCUGAAAAGACCAAUAUCUCAAACAUUUUGUGAGUGGUGUCUGUGUUUUAAAGUUUACUAAAUACUAAUUGUCUUAAAAGUCCAAAUUGUCAUAAAGUGAAAAUCAAGAAUUUUUAUUUGACUGCAACGAUAUAUGCUUGAUUUGGU